Long non-coding RNA from Salvelinus sp. IW2-2015, 1261 nucleotides. RefSeq lists it as uncharacterized. The record is from RefSeq and is a predicted model, not a curated record. Lineage: Eukaryota; Metazoa; Chordata; Actinopteri; Salmoniformes; Salmonidae.
CUCUCCAAUCAGAGCCGUAGCCUAACAAGUUUGAGCAACAUGCCGACCAAUGGCAACGUCAUGUGGGCGUGUGUUCAAAGGUGAGGUGCUUUUUUGAGUUUAGUAAAUGACUGCAGCAAGAAAUACAGUGGUGGUCUGACGUGAGAGCGCUGAGCUAUAGGAGGCAAUGGAAGAAGGGGCUAAUCGCAUCCCGAUUUCACUCAAUUUGACAUUAUUACGAGGAAUCUAAAUGCAAGAAGACGAAACCGAGUUGUGAGUCCCGAACUUGACCGGACAAUGGAAGUAGCUCUCUGCAGCAGUUACAUCUCACCCCUGGGAGUCAACUACCGAGACACGGCGAGUACCUGCAGAAAAACAUCAGUCAGCACGGCCGGGGUAACUACAACUACGUGUGGCUUGAAAGCAACACCUCUGUUUUUGGGAUGCAUAUAAGAGAAAGCGUUAAGAAAAAAACACUGACUACGUAUGUAUAUAUUUCGUGUAACAACUGUGCAAUUCCGCUACUGAUCUAGACGUAAGGGGUAUACAACCACGUAGUUAAACAUCUUCUAAAAUUGAGACAUUCAUUAMGACCCAGAGCACAUGCAUUGCCACAUUUAUCACUGAAGGAGGCAUGUUGAAAUUGACAAAUUCCCCUUGUAACAAAAUCCAAAUGGAUCGCAUAGAAUAAACGUCGGAAAUAUCUGUSAUAUCGUAGCCUAACGUGCUGUACCCUCAAAGCAACAAUAACCUGGGCUGAGUGAAAUUCCACAAACCGCGUUUGCCGCUGUCCGUUGUCCUGAAAAAGUACUCAUUAUUUGGGUUAUCCGAAUCAAUAACGGAAGAGGGUUUCAUGGCCUGGGCGGUUACGAACAUCUUSUGGUUUUCUUGUGACUCUGGAAUCUGAAAAACAACAACAGAAGAAUUGCUCACCUUGGAGGUCCGAAAUCAUUAAAGAAAUUGGAAUUCUACUAUUGGUGCUCCUGGAGCUGUAGGUAGCCCGAAUGAGACCGGCAAAAAUGUACCGAAUAAACGCUCUCGGGAUCUAUUUGUGGGAAACAAUAGUAUUUUUCAGCUUGGCAGCCUCUAAAGAAGCCGCGGCUCGAAAAGCUGCCUCCCCAAUGCCUCCCUCUGAGUUCUUGGACAAACUCAUGGGCAAAGUUUCGGGUUAUGAUGCAAGAAUCAGACCUAAUUUUAAAGACCCACAAGGCCCCAAAACAGAAGCUUCUCACAAGAAAGGUACUUUAUUUUUAUUCAUCACAGAAUAAAGUAUGCAAGUCAC